Molecule: small RNA, 973 nt
Filed under: Pongo abelii (Sumatran orangutan)
Lineage: Eukaryota; Metazoa; Chordata; Mammalia; Primates; Hominidae
Description: processed transcript
Source: RNAcentral
CAAUGGAGGCCGGCCUGGCUGGGAUGGAGAAAAACACUGUUGGGGGAGAUGCAGUGUAGGCUCCAUAUGGGAAGUAACAGGGAGCUACCACAGGUUCUUGAGCAAGGGAGUGACAAGAUAGAAUCCGAUUUUGUAUCUGACUGAGCCUGUAGACCAGGAUGUAUGGGGUUGGGGUGGGGGCGGCACUAGGAAGCUACUUCUUCCAUCUGCUACCAUUCAGCUACAAGCCGUGAGCAAAGCCCGGGGCUGGAUGUGGUUGAGCCAGCGGAGGCAGACCCGGGGCUGUCCUGGUGGAGAAGGGUGUGAGGGCUGCAGGUGUGCAGCAAUGGAGAGGAUAGUGCUGGCCCUACUUGCUGGAAGGGACAGUGGUGACUCUAGGCUGGGGAGCUCUGAGGGAGGUGCCCUGCUCUGAGGAGGCACAGCUACACAUUAUGGAGGCCUGAUCUGAGGCGGGAGACAUAGCAGGACCCUCAGGUUGAGCUCCCCAAGCCACAAACACUGGGGGAGCUUUUCCAGGGCGGGCAGAGGCCAGAACUGAAGCGGGGGUCGUGGCUCCAUGGCCAGCCCCCUCUGAGGUGAUCACACCUGCAGAGACGAGGAGGAGCUGAGACGCUCUCUGUCUGAGUUGGCCGACCCCAACCCCAAGGUCAUCAAGCGGAUCAGCGGGGGCAGUGGCAGUGGCUCCAGCCCUUUCCUGGACCUGACUCCCGAGCCCGGGGCUGCCGUCUACAAGCACGGGGCCCUGGUGCGAAAGGUGCACGCAGACCCUGACUGCAGGAAGACACCUCGGGGCAAGCGGGGCUGGAAGAGCUUCCACGGGAUCCUCAAGGGCAUGAUCCUCUACCUGCAGAAGGAGGAGUACAAGCCUGGGAAGGCCCUUUCAGAGACGGAGCUCAAGAAUGCCAUCAGCAUCCACCAUGCCCUGGCCACUCGUGCCAGUGACUACAGCAAGAGGCCCCACGUCUUCUACCUG